RNAcentral lists this long non-coding RNA (1349 nucleotides) under Anser brachyrhynchus (Pink-footed goose). RNAcentral describes it as "lncRNA (ENSABRG00000007836.1)". Lineage: Eukaryota; Metazoa; Chordata; Aves; Anseriformes; Anatidae. The record is from RNAcentral.
CCUAGAGCCGCUUGCUGUGCCGGCCAGGGGGACGGCAGCGUUCCUGCUCACCUGAUUUAUUAUCUCUGCUCAGCACACAGGGAAGGGGAUUCUUCACGGGGAGGAAAGCUGGCAGCUCAGAGCAGUCCCCUGGAAGCAGCCAGCGCUUGGUGUGAGCGUUCAUUCAAAGGAGCAGGGAGAGAAAGGAAAAAGCUGUAGUAGGGAAAGAGGAAGGUUAAAAAAAGCAGACACCUCCGAGGCGCUUGUGAAGCGGGAACGCAGCAAGGCAGUCGGUAUUUCUGGUCUGAGGCUGGGACAGAGACCCACGGAGCUGAUGCGAGGGGAGUUUUGCAUAUUCCGAAAAGUAAACAGAAGAGUCAGCCUUGUUUUUUUGCAGAAUUACAGGAACCAGAGAUGGAAAAGACCUAUUAACUCAUCUUUCCGUUCCCCUCCAGGGUAGAACAGGAUUGCUCCCUGGAGGAGAUUAUUUUUAGCACUCUGUUGAGCACAGUUUUUGAUGUCUCAUGAGAUGGGGGUUUCUUUUCCAGGGAUUUAGAUGUAAGAAUGAUAAACCAGGUUCCGCCAAAGGAAGGCUUGACCCAGAGAUGAAACGAGGAUCAAAGCUUUGCUGUGAGGUUCAAAAAUGUUUGCCUGCAUGUUUUCCUCUCUCUGUAACGUGUUUCUGCAUCUCUCUACAGCAUGCUUUGCCUGGGAAGGAAGCAGAGGCAGCGAAGCCCCGGCUCUCCAGGGAUUUUUGCUCCUACAGAAAUGGAGAAACGCGACGAUUUCUCUGGCAGAAGCUUCACACGGGCAUCCUGGGGACGCUCGGUUGGGCCAUUGCGUUGGUGGGGAGAAAAAGAGGAAUGGCACAUCUGCUAGGUGACCGACACGUGUCCCCGGUGCCCUGUAGGCUCAGUAGGAGUCUGGCGGAGUCGGAAGAAAGCCCUUGGAACAGGAGGCUGUCACCGAACAGACGUCUCCUGGUUUUCACAAGAACAUCCCACUUUUGCUGCAGCGUCUACUUCCGAUAAAUGUUUUGAUUUAGCCUCAGCUUUCGUGUAGCAACAGGAAAACAUCAUCCCGGGGUGAUGUUCUAUUCCAUUUGAAAUUAUCUCUUGGAUGAGGCACAGGAAAGAGUGGAUUCGAGCUGUAAACAAAAUCCCAUUUGUCUCCUUAAAUGCGUUUGUUUGCCUGCCUUGGGGAAGGGGAGGAUGAGGCGCAUGGGGGCAGUGGGGCUGAGGGGCGUCCUGCAGCCCCUUGGAGGCUCACGAGGCCACGGCGAGGUGAUGUGGGUGAGCCUCUGCCUGCCAGGGUGCAGCCUUUGCAUCAAAGGUGCCCAAGAGACAGCGUGGGACAGUGCCAGCCUGCAU